UAUUUGCAUGAAAGUGGAAUUCAAAAAGUUCCAAAGAAAUACAUUUUUCCUAUUUCAGAAAGACCAAAUUGUUAUACUAUAAAUGAAAAUCCACAAGUUGCUAGCAAACACAAUCUUAAGUUGCCUGUCAUAGAUUUUUCUCAACUCUAUGGUCCUAAUAGAGCUCAAGUUCUUGAUUCACUCUCCUAUGCCUGUGAAAACUAUGGAUUUUUUCAGUUGAUAAACCAUGGGAUUCCAGAAGAGGUAAUAAAAAAUAUGGUGGAUGUUGGAGGAAGGUUUUUUGAUCUUCCAUUAGUAGAAAGGGAAAAGUACAUGACAAAAGACAUGACAACACCAGUUAGAUAUGGGACAAGUUUUAAUCAAACAAAAGAUGGUGUCUUUUGUUGGAGGGACUUUCUCAAGCUUGUUUGUGACCCUCUUCCUCAAGUCCUUCCUCAUUGGCCUUCUUCUCCUUCUGAUUUUAGGGAAAUGGCAGUUACAUACUCUAAAGAGACCAAAAUCUUAUUUAUAAAGUUAGUGGAAGCCAUCCUAGAAAGUCUUGGAAUUAAUGUUGCAACAAAAAAACAAGACACAACAAAAUGAUGAAGAAAUAAUGUUAAAAGAAUUUGAAGAUGGAAGCCAGCUAAUGGCUGUUAAUUUUUAUCCACCUUGUCCUAAUCCUGAUUUGACACUUGGAAUGCCACCUCAUUCUGAUUAUGGAUUUUUAACUCUUCUACUCCAAGAUGAAGUUGAAGGUUUACAAGUUAAGUCCAAUGAUGAUUGGGUCACUAUUCAACCUAUCCCUAAUGCUUUUGUGGUCAAUGUUGGUGACCACCUCGAGAUAUUUAG
Molecule: unclassified non-coding RNA, 828 nt
Filed under: Hevea brasiliensis (rubber tree)
Lineage: Eukaryota; Viridiplantae; Streptophyta; Magnoliopsida; Malpighiales; Euphorbiaceae
Source: RNAcentral